RNAcentral lists this non-coding RNA (92 nucleotides) under Mangrovibacter sp. MFB070. RNAcentral describes it as "Plasmid-encoded Shigella sRNA A". It matches the Rfam family "Plasmid-encoded Shigella sRNA A". Lineage: Bacteria; Pseudomonadati; Pseudomonadota; Gammaproteobacteria; Enterobacterales; Enterobacteriaceae. The record is from Rfam by way of RNAcentral.
UGGCUGAGAAAAGAGUUUUAAUUUUAUUAAGAGACUAUGACAAUAAGUAGUCUCAGGCGACAGGCACAAAACGGAGAGAAACUAUGUUUGAA